This is a long non-coding RNA of Ctenopharyngodon idella (grass carp), 856 nucleotides long. RefSeq lists it as uncharacterized. The transcript has 11 exons. The record is from RefSeq and is a predicted model, not a curated record. Lineage: Eukaryota; Metazoa; Chordata; Actinopteri; Cypriniformes; Xenocyprididae.
UAUUUCGCUACCCUACCUGCAGCAUUAGGACCCCUUUAAAUUACCUUCCCUGGACGCAGCGCGAUCCCGUUCUGCGGAUGCUGCAGUGUUUGAGGGAACCAAAUUGCAAAGAAAUGGGCCGAAGUGGCAAGAACGUCCCUGCUGUUGGAUGGGAGAAGAAAAAAAGAUGUUGCCAGGUAGCUGAUGUUAACCGAUUACUACCAAUGGGUUGGAUGAGAGAAUAAGAUGUUGCCAGGAAGCUGAUGUUAAGCGUUUACAACCAAUGGGUUGGAUGGGAGAAACAGAUGCUGCCAGGUAGCUGACGUCAACCGUUUACAACCAGUGGGUUGGAUGGGAGAAACAGAUGCUGCCAGGUAGCUGAUGUCAACAGUUACUCAAACAAUGGGUUGGAUGGGAGAAGAAAAAAAUGUUGCCAGGUAGCUGAUGUCAACCGUUUACAACCAGUGGGUUGGAUUCCAACAGAAUGGUUGAUGGCAACAGUUGACAACCAGAUUUCAGCGAAAGAUUUGCAGCCAACAUAGACGUUAAAAUGUCUUGAGCCCAUGAUUCUACGUAAAGGUUGAUGUGAUGCCAGAAUUAUGUGCCAGAGAUGGGUAUAUGCAUGCAAAUGUGCAGACCCGUAAGUCGAAGUCGUGUCAGAAGAGGAGUUGUGAACGGUUUGCAGCAUGAUGGUGAACUGUCAAGCUACUUUGUAGUAUUGUGUAUCAAUUUAAACAGUUGUUUCAGUGCUGUUGUAUUUCCAAGGACAGUUUGAGGAGUAAUUGCUUAAUCUUUUUCAUUUUCCAGUUCUUUGUAAACUGCAUUUUCUAAAUUGAGUUUACUUUUACAUUUUAAUAAAAAUCACAAUUACAUAUGA